This 253-nucleotide ribosomal RNA is filed under the name uncultured bacterium. RNAcentral's name for it is "partial 16S ribosomal RNA". It matches the Rfam family "Bacterial small subunit ribosomal RNA", at positions 524 to 776 of the family's 1533-position model. The record is from RNAcentral.
UACGUAGGGUGCGAGCGUUAAUCGGAAUUACUGGGCGUAAAGUGUGCGCAGGCGGUCGUUCAAGUCGCGUGUGAAAGCCCCCGGCUCAACUGGGGAGGGUCACGCGAUACUGAUCGACUCGAAGGCAGGAGAGGGUAGUGGAAUUCCCGGUGUAGUGGUGAAAUGCGUAGAUAUCGGGAGGAACACCAGUGGCGAAGGCGACUACCUGGCCUGUUCUUGACGCUGAGGCGCGAAAGCUAGGGGAGCAAACGGG